Non-coding RNA from Trichonephila inaurata madagascariensis, 73 nucleotides. The record is from the annotation of a GenBank genome assembly. Lineage: Eukaryota; Metazoa; Arthropoda; Arachnida; Araneae; Nephilidae.
GUCCCUGUAGCGCAAUGGAUAGCGCGUUUGACUACUAAUCCGAAGGUUGUGGGUUCGAAACCCACUUGGGAUG